AUACGUAGGGGGCGAGCGUUAUCCGGAUUCAUUGGGCGUAAAGCGCGCGUAGGCGGCCUGCUAGGUCGGGACUCAAAUCCGGGGGCUCAACCCCCGCCCGGUCCCGAUACCGACAGGCUUGCGUCUGGUAGGGGAAGGCGGAAUUCCAAGUGUAGCGGUGGAAUGCGCAGAUACUUGGAAGAACACCGGUGGCGAAGGCGGCCUUCUGGGCCACGGCUGCCGCGGAGGCGCGAAAGCUAGGGGAGCGAACAGGAUUAGUUCCCCGGUUAGUCCUACCCGUAAACGAUGGACACUAUGUGUGGGGGGAUGUGCCCUCCGUGCCGCAGCCAACGCAUUAAGUGUCCCGCCUGGGGAGUACGGCCGCAAGGCUAAAACUCAAAUGAAUUGACUGGG
RNAcentral lists this ribosomal RNA (393 nucleotides) under uncultured bacterium. RNAcentral describes it as "partial 16S ribosomal RNA". It matches the Rfam family "Bacterial small subunit ribosomal RNA", at positions 523 to 918 of the family's 1533-position model. The record is from RNAcentral.